Dioscorea cayenensis subsp. rotundata (Guinea yam) is the source of this 133-nucleotide small nucleolar RNA. RefSeq annotates it as small nucleolar RNA Z247. The transcript has a single exon. The record is from RefSeq and is a predicted model, not a curated record. NCBI's taxonomy places the organism in Eukaryota, Viridiplantae, Streptophyta, Magnoliopsida, Dioscoreales, Dioscoreaceae.
CCUGUUGAUGAUGAGGAUCUUAUUCAUCAAGUUCUUGAGGGACUCCGUGAUGAGUACAAAUCUGUCGUUGAUGCGAUUAAUGCUCGUGAUAUGUUAAUUUCCUUUGUUGAAUUCCAUGAGAAACUCCUCAACC